This 460-nucleotide ribosomal RNA is filed under the name uncultured bacterium. RNAcentral's name for it is "partial 16S ribosomal RNA". It matches the Rfam family "Bacterial small subunit ribosomal RNA", at positions 338 to 795 of the family's 1533-position model. The record is from RNAcentral.
CCUACGUGGAGCCGCAGUGAGGAAUAUUGGUCAAUGGGCGCGAGCCUGACCCAGCCAAGUAGCGUGAAGGAUGACUGCCCUACGGGUUGUCAACUUCUUUUAUCAAGGAAUAAAGUGAGACACGUGUGCCUUUUUGUAUGUACUUUAUGACUAAGGAUCGGCUAACUCCGUGCCAGCAGCCGCGGUAAUACGGAGGAUGCGAGCGUUAUCCGGAUUUAUUGGGUUUAACGGUAGCGUAGAUGGGUUGUUAAGUCAGUUGUGAAAGUUUGCGGCUCAACCGUAAAAUUGCAAUUGAUACUGGCAGUCUUGAGUACAGUUGAGGUAGGCGGAAUUCGUGGUGUAGCGGUGAAAUGCUUAGAUAUCACGAAGAACUCCGAUUGCGAAGGCAGCUUACUAAACUGCCACUGACAUUGAUGCUCGAAAGUGUGGGUAUCAAACAGGAUUAGAUACCCCAGUAGGC